GACGUAGGGGGCCAGCGUUGUUCGGAAUUACUGGGUGUAAAGGGUUCGUAGGCGGUGUGGCAAGUCGGGAGUGAAAUUUCUGGGCUCAACUCAGAGACUGCUUCCGAAACUGCUGUGCUUGAGUGUGGGAGAGGCGCGUGGAAUUGCAGGUGUAGCGGUGAAAUGCGUAGAUAUCUGCAGGAACACCCGUGGCGAAAGCGGCGCACUGGACCAUAACUGACGCUGAGGCGCGAAAGCUAGGGGAGCAAACGGG
Molecule: ribosomal RNA, 253 nt
Filed under: uncultured bacterium
Lineage: Bacteria
Description: partial 16S ribosomal RNA
Rfam family: Bacterial small subunit ribosomal RNA
Source: RNAcentral